This 465-nucleotide ribosomal RNA is filed under the name Vreelandella stevensii. RNAcentral describes it as "partial 16S ribosomal RNA". It matches the Rfam family "Bacterial small subunit ribosomal RNA", at positions 338 to 795 of the family's 1533-position model. The record is from RNAcentral. Lineage: Bacteria; Pseudomonadati; Pseudomonadota; Gammaproteobacteria; Oceanospirillales; Halomonadaceae.
CCUACGGGAGGCUGCAGUGGGGAAUAUUGGACAAUGGGCGAAAGCCUGAUCCAGCCAUGCCGCGUGUGUGAAGAAGGCCUUCGGGUUGUAAAGCACUUUCAGUGGGGAAGAAAGCCUUGGGGCUAAUACCCUCGAGGAAGGACAUCACCCACAGAAGAAGCACCGGCUAACUCCGUGCCAGCAGCCGCGGUAAUACGGAGGGUGCGAGCGUUAAUCGGAAUUACUGGGCGUAAAGCGCGCGUAGGCGGUUUGAUAAGCCGGUUGUGAAAGCCCCGGGCUCAACCUGGGAACGGCAUCCGGAACUGUCAGGCUAGAGUGCAGGAGAGGAAGGUAGAAUUCCCGGUGUAGCGGUGAAAUGCGUAGAGAUCGGGAGGAAUACCAGUGGCGAAGGCGGCCUUCUGGACUGACACUGACGCUGAGGUGCGAAAGCGUGGGUAGCAAACAGGAUUAGAUACCCCGGUAGUC